This 248-nucleotide long non-coding RNA is filed under the name Lathyrus oleraceus (garden pea). RNAcentral describes it as "Pisum sativum (pea) long non-coding RNA (PSAT_LNC027188)". The record is from RNAcentral. Lineage: Eukaryota; Viridiplantae; Streptophyta; Magnoliopsida; Fabales; Fabaceae.
AUGAAGUGAGGUAUCUAAGAUAUAUCACGUAAAUAAUGUGAGACUAAGGAGUUUUCUCAACUAACACACAAUGUGGGACUUAAGGAACAUUUUCAAAUUCAUCUCCCUAUAUUGAAAUAUUGACAUAAUGUUCCAACAACCCAUGUAUCAAGUACUUAGGAGCAUGGAUCCUCACCUGCUGAAUGGCUUCUGUCAUCCAUGUUGCCCUUGAAUCAAUGGCUAAUUUUUUUUGAAAUUAAAUAAUAAAA